This 687-nucleotide long non-coding RNA is filed under the name Eutrema salsugineum. RNAcentral's name for it is "long non-coding RNA (ESAL_LNC000625)". The record is from RNAcentral. Lineage: Eukaryota; Viridiplantae; Streptophyta; Magnoliopsida; Brassicales; Brassicaceae.
AAUUUUCUUUAGUCUUACUACCCGGAACGCCUUGCGAAAUGCUACAUCUUACAUAUGCCGGGAUUCUUCGUGACUGUUUGGAGAUUCGUCUGCCGUUUCCUAGAGAAAACAACUCAGGAAAAGGUUUGAUCUUUAAUCAUCUCGUGAUGUAUCUAUCUCCACAAAUUCAUUUUUUAAGCAAAUCUGAAGCACGUUACUUUUUUUUUCCCUGGUUUUAUAGAUUGUAAUAGUAACAGACGGAGAAGAACAGAGAAAAUUUGAGGAGGAGGUUGGAUUAGAGGCUUUACCUGAAGAAUACGGAGGCCGAGCUAAGCUCACAUUAAUCCAAGAUGUCAUUCUUCCUCAGACUGCUCCACCAAUGUUACCAACAAACAAUAAUGCUUAAUUCUUAAUUCUUGGAAAAGCAUUUAACCCUUCAAACACUGAAUCCUGCUUUAAUACAUAUUAUCUCCCUACUGCUUUACUCUUUUUAUUCUGUAAUGAUUAGAACAAGAUAUCGUUAGAACUUUUCAACAACUUUAAUUUCCAAAAGAAGUAAUAUAAUGAAACACAUGAGAAAGUCGUGUGAAUAUACUCAAUCUGGUGAAAUAAUACCUUUUGUUUACUAGUUUCAGACAUCCCGCUGUUUCUAUUUAUUAGAUAAAAAACGUCUGUUGUUCUAAGGUCUCGGAUCAAAAAAGCCUGCUG